GACGAACGCUGGCGGCGUGCUUAACACAUGCAAGUCGAGCGGAAAGGCCACUUCGGUGGUACUCGAGCGGCGAACGGGUGAGUAACACGUGCGUAAUCUGCCCCUCACUUUGGGAUAGCCACCGGAAGCGGUGAUUAAUACCGGAUAUGACCAUAUGUCGCAUGGCGUGUGGUGGAAAGUUUUUCGGUGAGGGAUGUGCUCGCGGCCUAUCAGCUUGAUGGUGAGGUAAUGGCUCACCAUGGCUUCGACGGGUAGCCGGCCUGAGAGGGUGACCGGUCACACUGGGACUGAGACACGGCCCAGACUCCUACGGGAGGCAGCAGUGGGGAAUAUUGGACAAUGGGCGGAAGCCUGAUCCAGCAACGCCGCGUGAGGGAUGACGGCCUUCGGGUUGUAAACCUCUUUCAGUACCGACGAAGCGCAAGUGACGGUAGGUACAGAAGAAGCACCGGCCAACUACGUG
Molecule: ribosomal RNA, 463 nt
Filed under: uncultured bacterium
Lineage: Bacteria
Description: partial 16S ribosomal RNA
Rfam family: Bacterial small subunit ribosomal RNA
Source: RNAcentral